This 497-nucleotide ribosomal RNA is filed under the name uncultured bacterium. RNAcentral describes it as "partial 16S ribosomal RNA". It matches the Rfam family "Bacterial small subunit ribosomal RNA", at positions 28 to 507 of the family's 1533-position model. The record is from RNAcentral.
GAUGAACGCUGGCGGCGUGCCUAAUACAUGCAAGUCGAGCGAACAGAUGAGGUGCUUGCUCCUCUGACGUUAGCGGCGGACGGGUGAGUAACACGUGGAUAACCUACCUAUAAGACUGGGAUAACUUCGGGAAACCGGAGCUAAUACCGGAUAAUAUAUUUAACCGCAUGGUUCAAUAGUGAAAGACGGUUUUGCUGUCACUUAUAGAUGGAUCCGCGCCGCAUUAGCUAGUUGGUAAGGUAACGGCUUACCAAGGCGACGAUGCGUAGCCGACCUGAGAGGGUGAUGGGCCACACUGGAACUGGGACACGGUCCAGACUCCUACGGGAGGCAGCAGAAGGGAAUCUUCCGCAAUGGGCGAAAGCCGGACGGAGCAACGCCGCGUGAGUGAUGAAGGUCUUCGGAUCGUAAAACUCUGUUAUUAGGGAAGAACAAAUGUGUAAGUAACUAUGCACGUAUUGACGGUACCUAAUCAGAAAGCCACGGCUAACUACGUG